This is a non-coding RNA of Blepharisma stoltei, 72 nucleotides long. Lineage: Eukaryota; Ciliophora; Heterotrichea; Heterotrichida; Blepharismidae. The record is from the annotation of a GenBank genome assembly.
UCAGAAGUAGCACAAUGGUUGUGCGUCAGACCUGCUCAGCUGAAGAUCCAAGUUCAAUUCUUGGCCUCUGAC